UCGAAGCCUCACGAUCAGAGCGACCCGCGAAUAUGUUUGACUACUGAGGGGCGGCUAGAGGUGUUUUGCACCACGGUCCCCCUUGUGUCGGAGGCGUCGCUCCUCGGCGGUCUCCUCCUGACCGAAUAACAAAACCCCGGCGCCGAACGCGCCAAGGAAAUCGAAAUCGUUUAGUUCGCCACCGCCGGCUCGGAGACGGUGCUCGUGCGGGUGGUGUUGCGACACGCGUAUCCAAA
Molecule: ribosomal RNA, 236 nt
Filed under: Podalyria calyptrata
Lineage: Eukaryota; Viridiplantae; Streptophyta; Magnoliopsida; Fabales; Fabaceae
Source: RNAcentral